Molecule: long non-coding RNA, 26840 nt
Filed under: Lathyrus oleraceus (garden pea)
Lineage: Eukaryota; Viridiplantae; Streptophyta; Magnoliopsida; Fabales; Fabaceae
Description: Pisum sativum (pea) long non-coding RNA (PSAT_LNC004138)
Source: RNAcentral
AAAUAAAAAAUAUUUCAAUUGCCUUAUUUUAUUUUAUUACCAAUAUUUUAAAGUACAAAGUCUUACAUGUAUGGUCUGUGAAAUUUUGUAAGGAAAAAUAAAAAGUACAUUUAUUAUGGUUAGUACAACAAUUCAUUGGCAACUAAGGAAUAUUUUAUUAUAAAGUUGUGUAAGAACUCAUUUUUUCAUGUAUUGAUCCUGACUUCUUUCUUUCUUAGAAAUUGACAUAGAUUGUCAAUGCACUUCACGCCGUGAGAUUUAUUAAUACUAGGAAACACUUUUUGACAAUAUUCAUCUGUUUCACAUUUAACUCUUACUGUAAUAAAAGAACAAAAUAGAGAAUAAUAUUAAUAGAAAAAAAAUAAAAAAUUGAGUUCAAAGUAAAAAAGGUAAAGAUCAAAAUUUGAAAAGGUUAGAAAAAUAUCUUACGGCAAAUGUUUCUUUCAAUAAAAAAUACAGCAAUGAAUAAAAUCAUAAAAUGAACAAUAUUGAGAAAUUUAGUCUCAUCUUUCUCUUUUUGCAUGUUAUAGAUAUAAUAUGAUUGAUCAAUUUAUAGUGUAUAAACUUAUCCUAAGUUAAAAUAAAUUAAUUAUUUUUAGCCCUUGAGAAGUAUGGAAAAACAUCUUUAAAUUGCUAAUGUGUAUAUUUUUAUUAGAUUAAUAUGUUAUGAUUGUCCUUUGACACAUUAAAGAGUAACAUGCAAAACUUUCUUAUCAUUAGAAUUCACUCUUCUUAAAUUAAUAGAUAAAUAAUAUUUUAUUUAUUUCUAAAAUAGUUACAAACGCAUAGUUUACCGAUAGUUAAACUUAUUGUAAGUUUCUUUAUAGAUAAAAUCAUUUGAUUUUAGGAAAUGAAUAUUAAAUUUUGCAGUUAUUUGAUUUUAGGGUUGGGGAAUUCGAAUCAUUCCCAACUCGGUUCAAUUCGAUAAGAAUUAGUCCAACUCAAAAUUUGACUCGAGUUCAAUCCGAUUUUUUUAAAGGUUAAGUUCAACUUAUUUUAAGUUCACAAAAAUAAUUUAUUUCAAUUCGAUAGAUUCAUCUUGUUAGGUUCAAUUGUAUGCUCUAUAGGUUAAAAAGCCAUAUUUUUAAAUAUUAAUAUAUAUUUUUUUUAUAUUUGACAUUUUAAAUUAAUAAUUUUUUUAAAAGGAAAAUAUUUAAAUAAAAUGAUAAUUAUAAGAUUGAAAUUUAACUUUUUCUCAAAAAAAUUUAAUGUUUUAUUUAUUAGAAGAACUUUAUUAAACAAAGGAGUUUAAUUUUUAAUCACCCUAUACAAUUUUUUUUAUAUGAUGAUGAAUUUAUUUGUGUAAUUAUUUUUAAAUAUAUUUUGUUAACUUGGGAAUAUAAAUUAUCAAUUAAAACCGUCAAAUUAAAAGAAAAAUUAGAAGAUUUAUAGUAAGUUUUUAAACAUAUUCUUAGAGCCAAUAUAAUUCAUCUCAUAUAUAAUCGAGUUGAUUCAUGAACCUAAUGAGUUGAGCUAUACAUAGUUCAAAUCUACCUCAUUUAAUUAACAAACUUAAUUUUUUGUUCAUAUUCAGCUCAUUUAGUUCAUGAACCUAGUUCAAUGAUUUAGUUUUCGAAUUGAGUUUUGAAUUAUGUUUGAAUUUGUCUGGUGCAUGCAUAGCUCUAUUUGAUUUCAUAACAUUAUCAUUCACAUAAAUCCUGUAACAUUCCAUAUAAUAUAUAUCUAGAGUAAUAUCAUACAAGUUUUAUUAUUUUUUUGGUAUUGUCACAACAUAAGUGUCUAACAACAUCUUUAUAUACUUGCCCAUAAAAUAAAAUACAACAUAUCGAAUAUGUCAUGCGAUAGUGCCUAAAUAAAGAUCUAAGAACUAUGUACAAUAUCUACAAUUGUACAAAUCUACUGUAGAAGAUCAUAAUAAAAUCUUUCCUUGAAACAUCAAUGCACAACUCCUCUUGUACAAUAUAUCCUAUAAACAAUACUUGGAAAAAAACCAAUAAUAUUGGGGUGAGAUAAUAAUCUCAGUGAGUUAUCCUAUCUUAUGGGUUCACUCGGCUCUAUAGAGUUUUCUAAUCGAUUUCCUAACUCAAGUCACAAAGGGGGAAAACUGGAGUUCCCAAAACUCGCAAUGUAUAGAAAUACGCCUCUUGAGUUCAUCGACUCAAACAAUCAAUAAUCGGAAACCAUUACAAGGUAUGUUCCCCCAUCCAACCCUACGUCUAGGAUUAUCGACAUGGGUCACGAAUCCUUGUAUAUACUUUGAAAUAUGCACAGACUUCCGAUUCUAAGUGAUCACAUCCACUUCAAGAAUCGCCGCUUCCUAUGGGACUCAAAACUCAUUUCAAGACUUUUACUCGUAUGGGACUCACCCCACUUUGGGAUCUACCGUCUUUGGAACUCACGCCCAGGUCAUAAGUAUUGGUGCGUACGUCCCAAUUCUUACUCUAUAUGAGCAUCACAACUUGGGACAACACAAUUAACGAGUUAUUUUUGACUACGUGACAAGAUAGAAAUACAACGUAAUUGUAUUCAAAAAUCACAAGGUAGUCACGUUCAUCUUCAUCAAACAACAAUACAACAUGUUCCAUACAAUGCAUCCCACUCUCAACUAUGGCAACCAUCCAUCCAUGACACUCAACCAGGUAUCAUAUAGAAUAAACGUCCCCAUCUAACAUUAUUUAAGCCAUAUGUCUAACUUCUUACCCUAAUUAGAACUCUAAGUUAACUCACAUUGUUCAUCACGUUUCUCUCUCAUCUAUUGUUAAUUUAACACAUACAUAUCAGAACAUAUGUCAUAAGGCACACAUAUGGAAAAGAUAGCAUAUUCCAUUUAUCCCAAACAAAACGUAAUAAAUUAUCAUGAUCAUAUAAAGCUUUAAACAAGCUUUCUAAUGCAUUUGACCGCACAUCGAACGGAUUUAUGAAACUCAAGUUAUGCCACAAACAAUACAGAGGGAAAACACAAAAACCAGUUAACCGCGCUAAGCGCCACCUGAGCCUGCUAUUGUGAUUUGAGAAUGUUAUGUGGAGAAUUGUGGCAUCCUUUUUGAGUAUUUUAUUAUGCAUGUUUUAUAAAUUAAGUGUUUGGGGUUUAUGGUUAUACAACCAGACCCCAACCAUAUACAACUGAUCAAAGUAUUUCAUUUCCCUUAAGCGGUGAGCGAUCGUCCUCUUGAUUUCCGCUACGUCGUUGGCUCCUUUUCUUCGAACAAUAAUUGAAUUUGUUUCUUAGCCUAGCAAUCGAAAUCUUUCAAAUAUAUAUUCAAAUAAACAAAAAAGUAUUUAGACAAAUAAAUCAAACAAUGCAAGCACAAAUAAACCUUCGACAUCAUAUAUAAGACCUAUAGCAACUUAUUAAGCUCAUGAUAACGGUCCUAAAGUAUCUUAAAUUAUUUUAUGCUAACCGUCCCAACGUAUAUAGAUAUUUCCCCCAUAUUUUGUUGUUAAGCAUUGUUGAAAGUCCACGACUGCUUCCUCCGAUCUUUGACAAGAACUUAAUUUCAGUAACCGUUGAAUUGUACAAAAUUUAUAAAAUAAUGAGAAUAUAAUUUACGCAUAAUUAUAUAAAAUUGUUACAACUUGAAAUAUUUACUUUAAAAUAUUUAAUACUAACCUCCACUAUAUUUGAAUAAUUAUUAAACUCAAAUAUAAAUUAGACUAUAGCCUGUUUGGAUUUGUUGAUUUUAGAAAAUUAUCAAGAGUAUAUUCCUAAUAACCUUUUAAUUUUAUAAUAACACUUGAGCAUUAUAAUGACUUAAAAUGGUAAAAUUUAUCUUUUAUUAGGAUAUCAACUUGGACUUUAUAAGUUCAAUACCUCUAUGGUGAAUGGAAACUUAAAUAGAAUAUUUAAAAUAACCUUAUAUGAAUAAAAUAAUUAAAUUAAUAUAAUUAAAAUAAAAUGGACAUUAUAACGAUUUACCAGUUACUUAUGAAAAUAAUUGUGGCAGAAAUUAAGCGUAUAAAAUCAAACUCCUUUGAAAUUUUAGAAGCAUUUUGACCAUAUUAUAACUCUAAAAGCUAUGAACCAAUACUGUGAAAACCUCGAUAACAAAAACUAAUAUCGCUAUAUGAAGAAAAUAGAAAAAGAGAGAAAUAGAAUGGUGAGAGAGAUGAAUUGUGAAUGGAUAUAUAUAUAUAUAUAUAUAUAUAUAUAUAUAUAUAUAUAUAUAUAUAUAUAUAUAUUAAUAUAUAUAUAUAUAUAUAUAUAUUAUAUAUAUAUACUUAAUAUAAUAUAUAUAUAUAUAUAUAUAGUUGAAGUAUAUUGAUAUUUUUGUUAAGGUAGGUUGAUAAAUAUUGUUGUUGAGGUGUCUUAGAUAAACAUUAUGGUUUAUUUAUUGGAUGAUGUGUUUUUAUAUGUAUGCUAUUAUUUAUGUUUUUCUUAAUGUUAUUACUUAUACAUUGCAGUUAUCAUUUUUUUCAACCAAUAUUUUUAGAAGAUGAGUUUAUUAUAUUGUAUAUGAUUUGACUGUUUUACCAACCUACCAUUAAAUAUAUAACCUUUUGAAUUGAAUUAGAAAAUAAUAAUAUGAAAAAUUAAGUUAUAUUAAAAAACAACUUACAUCGAUCAAUAUUUUACGAGCUUUCUUUAGUUUGUUGUCCAUAUAUAUCGCUCUUUGAUGGUUAUAAUUUGGUUUAAUGCUUGUAUUUUUUAAAUCUACACUUUUUUUACUAAUCCAUUCUGAAAAAUUGUUAAUACUUUGCAGAAUAAAUUAAAAGAGAAAGAAGUGUUGGUUGAAGAAUUAUAAGCAUUGAAUCAAAUUUUAACCGUUAAAGAAGGAGAUAUAGAUAAUGGAUUAUAGAAAGAUCGAAAAAUAUUUAUUAAUGUAACUUGUUCUACUAAUAUUACUCAAUUUGUCAUUUUAUUAAUAUCUAAUUAGAGUGAAAUGUUAUAUGUUUAUUGAGAAUUUAAUGAAAUAAGAAUUUCACAUAUUUUACAAUCAGACUUCAAAAAAAACUGUAAAACAAACAAAGAGUAAGCACGGAAUAAAGAAAGUCAGAGUAUAAAGAAAGAAAUACAUCAUAAGUAAAUAAAUGGCUAAAAUGUACACAAAUAAGGAUACAGAAAGAUGCACUAUAGGUUUAUAGAGGUUCGACUUAAUCACUUGACUUACUCAUCUCCUUGAAAAUUUAUUCUUGAGAGUUUAAAACCAGACUUUAGAAAAAGUUUGUAAAACAAACAUGAAAUAAGCAGUGGAAUAUAGAAAAUGGAGUAGAAACAAAGACGUACAUGAAAAGUAAAUUAAUUACUAAAAUAUAAAUAAAUAAGGGUAGAGAAAGAUGCACCAGCAGUUUAUAGAGGUUCGACUUAACCACUUGACCUACUCAUCUCCCCAAAAAAAAAUUCUUGAGAGUUUCCACUAUGUUGUGAGGUUUUUAGAAGUUUUUCCCACGAAUCUCCUUAAAAACAAACUUAAGUUUUAAAAUGGAUAAUCUCUAAACUAAACUGAGAGUUUUUUCCCACAAAAUGUUGUACAAGAUUAAUCCCAAACAAGAUAAGAGAUUUUAUACCAAGCGUAGCUCAGGAACCAAGUGGAGGUUUUAACGAAUAGGCGAAGCUCACGAACUAUGUGGAUAUUUCAACAGACAAUCUCUUGAAUGAAACAAGAUCUUUUACAAUAGGAAAAGUUCAAGAACAAAAAGUGAUAUUUGAACGGACAAUCCCAUAAACCAAACAAGAGCUUUUUAACUUGGUUUUGAUCAUAAUCAAACUAAAAAUAUCACAAGAAAUAUUACAAAAUUACCCUCACACCCGAACCAAAUAACUCACAUGUAAAUUUCACUCUCAAAUCACUACGGUAAAAGUGAGGAAGAACUAAAGAGAGAGAAGAGAGUGAAUAAUGAGAAAGAGUAGUCAAAAUACAUUUUCUUGUAUGUAAGAAAUGAGAAAUAAGCCUUCACAUUUUCUAGUAUGUAAGAAAUGAGAAAUCAACCUUCUAUUUAUAGGACAAAGUGUGAUACAGAAAUGGAAAGAAUCCAUGCACUUUUUAAUAUUCACAACCGAUAAUGCAUAUGACAUAAUCGAUUAUGCAAUUCAAAUAUUUAAUGUUUUUAAAUGACGCUUUCACUUAUCAAUUGUAGCUCUGUCUAAUCGAUUAGGGUUACAUAAGUGAUAAUUGACUAAUCAAGUAUGAUAAUCAAUUAUGUCAUGUAAAAAUUCUCUUAGUUGAUUAGAAUGUGUCUGUAAUUCAUUACCUAGGCACAAAAAGGUUUUCAAGUAGUUUUACUAAAAUUGGAGAGGAUUUUUUAUCAUUCAAAGUGUGUAAACGCACUACUAGGUGUGGCAAAAUGGGUCGGCCUGCUGGGCAUGCCCAUUUUGCCCGAGUUUUGUGCGGGGCGGGCUAAGGAUUUAUGCCCUCACCCUCAAAUGUGUCCGCCCCGCCCCGCCACGCCCCGCUCUGUUUUUUUUCCGGGUUUUACGGGCACGUGUGUUUACAUAAUUUUUUGUAUUUUUAGGCUUAAAGGAGUGCAGUGCUCGCAGACUUUUCCCGCCCCGCCCUCACUUUUUUGCGGCGCGGGUCCACUACGCCAAAAACUGGAAUAGACAGCGCACCUUAGAGGGCGCUUUAUUACAAAAGCGAUCUCUAAAGUGAAGCGAAAAAAUAAGGAGCAAUAGACAGCGCACUUUAGAGGGCGCUUUUGUAAUAAAGCGUCCUCUAAGGUGAAGCGAAAAAAUAAGGAGGAGAUAGAGGGACAACAAUACAUGGCGCUUUUUAGAAAGCGCCCUCUAAGGUUACCCUUAGAGGGCGCUUUUAAUAAGCGCUGUUAUAAGUCCAUGUGCAUUUCCAGCUUAUAAAACGCUUCUGGAAAGCCUUAGAGAGCGCUUCCAUAAGCGCCUCUUAGGCCCCCUUUAGAGGGCGCUUUUUUUCCACAAGCGCCCUCUAAGGUCCCCUUUAGUAAACAUUAAAAUUAAACAUACUGCGAUUUUGUUAUUUCACUCUCUGUUAUUUUCGUUCUUUUUCACGUUAGGGUUCUAAGGGCGUUCUCCUUCCACCUCUGUUAGAUCUACGACGUUUCCUCCUUCUACCAUCAAAGGUACACGAUGCAUACAUUAUUACUUGCACUAUUGCUUUGUUUUAGCUUUGCCCCAUUUCAGUUUUAUGUUAUUGUUGUCUAUGCUACGUUUGUUCGACCUGUAAAGUUUCAAUAUUCAUAAUCAUUUAAAUAGUUUGGGUUAUUAGGCAAUUGACGGUUGGUUUUUAGUGACCAUGAUAGCGCAUGCAAUGGGACUACAUUACCCAGUAGUUAGGGUUAUACGACCUAUGAACAUCUGAUUUUUGUGUCAACACAGUAUCAUUAGAAACCUAGUCCGAAUGUGUUUGAAUUCUUCAUUAACAGCCAACCAGUACAUAGCGUAGCUAGUAACUUAAGAAGUUUAGGUAUGGAUGUAUUUGAUAGAGUAAAUGGAGACAUGAAUGCCCUGCACAGAGUAUCUUCUGAAAUUGGUUUCUCUUCUGAAAUUGUUUUUUGUUUAUUCUAAUUAGUAAUGGAUAAUACAUGGAUGUCUUCCAAUCGAUUGUCGAGAGAGUACGAGAAUGGGGUAUCAGAAUUCGUUAAGUUUGCCGUUGCGCACGCCGAGAGACCCCAAUAGAAUGAUAUGUCCUUGCUUGGGUAUUGUUAUGGGAACGGGUUGACGCAGUUCAGUUGACAUCGCAUCUAAUGAGGCAUGGAAUUGAUCGAAGUUAUACAUGUUGGAAUUUGCAUGGUGAGAAAAGUACGAGAAUGUUGAACCGGGGAAUAGUACGACCUAUGCCUCAAACUAUAGUGGUGCAGAUACAACGAUUGUGAUCGAGUUGAAGAGAUUGCAGAAGCACUUGAAGGAGAUCUUAAGGAUUGUCCCGAAAUGUUUGAGAGGUUUGUAAGUGAUGCAGAGAAACCUUUGUAUGAUGGUUGCACUAAAUUCACAAGAUUGUCUGCAGUAUAAAGUUGUACAACUUAAAGGCGGGCAAUGGAUGGUCGAAUAAAAGUUUCACAGAGUUAUUAGGCCUUUUGAAAGAUAUGCUUCUGAGGAUAAUGUUCUUCCCAAUCAAACAUAUGAGACCAAAAAGAUGUUGUGCUCUAUUGGCAUGAGCUAUGAUAAGAUACAUGCAUGUCCAAACGAUUGCGUUUUGUUUCGAAAUGAGUAUGCAUCGUUAAAUGGGUGUCCUAAAUGCGGUGUCUCGCGAUAUAAAAACAAGUUGUCUCCAGCAAAAGUCUUGUGGUAUUUCCUGUUAUUCCGAGAUUUAGACGCAUGUUUCGUAGUGAAACCGAUUCAAGACACUUGACCUGGCAUGCAGAUGAAAGAAUUAUAGAUGGAAAGUAUCGACAUCCGGCAGAUUCACCACAGUGGUUGAAAAUUGAUAAUGAUUACCUGAAUUUGGAGAAGAUCAAGAAACCUUCGCUUGGCAUUAUCUACUGAUGGAAUGAACCCACACGGUAUCCAGAGUAUCUCACACAGUACAAUGGCCUGUGAUAUUAUGAUUUAUAACCUACCUCCAUGGCUAUGUAUGAAGCGUAAGUACAUGAGUUGUCUAUGUUGAUUUCUGGACCUAACAACCAGGGAAUGACAUAGACGUGUACUUGAAGCCCUUAAUCGAAGAUUUAAAGAUUUGUGGGAGACCGGUGUGGAGGUUUAUGAUGGAUAUAGGAAAGAAAGUUUCAACUUGAGGGCGAUGUUGUUUGGCACAAUUAAUGAUUUUCCCAGCAUACGGAAAUCUAUCAGGGUAUAGCAUAAAAGGUCAAUGUGCGUGUCCUAUUUGUGAAGAUAAAACAGAUUGGAAGCGCUUGGAGUUUGGUCAAGAAGAAUGUCUUUCUCGGUCAUCGGAGAUUCUUAAAUCAAAUCAUCACUACCGUGGAUGGAGAAAGGCGUUCAAUGGAGAGACAGAACAAGGCAGACGCUCCAACCUAUAUUGACGGGUGUCAAUUUUUGAAAAGGUGAAAGAUUUGGAUACUCAGUUUGGCAAGCCUUUUGCCCACACACUUGUCAAAGUGGGUGGAAGAAGAGGUCAGUUUUUUUUGAAUUGCCGUUUUGGAAGUCCUUGUAUGUGAGACAUUUUCUUGAUGUUAUUGCAUAUUGAAAAAAAAUGUAUUUGAAAGUGUUAUUGCACGUUACUCAAUAUACAAGGAAAGUCUAAGGAUGGCCUUAAGGCAAGAAAGGACUUGAUAGCGAUGGGAAUAAGAACUGAAUUAGGACCCUUGAAGAAAGGAAGACGAAACAUAUCUACCGCCUGCUGCUUAUACUCUAUCUAGAAAGGAGAAAAAACAUUGUGUAAGUUCUAGUGAAGUUAAAGUUCCAGAAGGGUACUUUCAGAUAUUAGAAGACUUGUGUCUAUGAAAGACCUCAAGUUAAAGAGUUUAAAGACCCAUGAUUGCCAUGUUAUAAUGGAACAUUUUCUCCCAAUAGGUAUACGUUCUAUUCUUCCAGAAAAAGUAAGAAGCUCUAUAACUAAGUUGUGUUCUUUCUUCAAGUCAAUUUGCAGUAAGGUGAUCAAUCCUGCGAUCUUACCAAUGUUGCAAAAAGAAAUCGUUAUUACUUUGUAUGAGCUUGAAAUGUUUUUUCCUCCAUCAUUUUUUGACAUAAUGGUACAUCUAGUUGUUCAUCUUGUGAAAGAGACACAAUUGUGUGGACCAGCUUAUAUGAGAUGGAUGUACCCUAUUGAACGUCAUAUGAAAAUAUUAAAAGGGUACGUGAAGAACGCGAAGUCGACCAGAAGGUUGUAUGGUUGAAAGAUACAUUGUUGAAGAAGCGCGAUUGAGUUUUGUACUGAAUAUUUGUCUAAUGUUCAGUCAUUCGACUCCCUAAGUCUCAACUUGUCGAAAAGAAAGAAGGAAAAAAUCUAAUUGGAAAUAAAAUCGUGCAGUAUCAGGGUCGAACGGGAUCAAUGCAUUUGUAUGUUCUGCACAAUGAGAAUGAGGUUGAGCCGUAUGUUGAAAUUCACAAGGAUGUUCUCUGAGGUUUAAAAUCCCAAUAGAAAUGAAAAUUGGAUAGUACGGAGAGCACAAUCGAUGUUUUUAUACCUUGGUUUAAGGAUCAUAUUUAUUCAAAGUAUUAUUCAGAUCCCGCUUCAAUAACAGAAAGUGUUGAGAUGCUUAGCAUAUGGUCCAAGUUUCCAUGUUUUUUCUAUAGCGCAUACGCGAUUAAUGGAUACACAUUUUAUACCAAAGAACAAGAUGAUAAAAGUACUAUGCAAAAUAGUGUGUCACCGUGGUAGCUGAAGCAAUGCACAUAUCAAGUGUGAAGGACUUAACCCCAAAUUUGCAAAUCUGUCGUAUUUUGGUGUUAUCGAGCGCAUUUGGGUGUUUGAUUAUGAGAAGUUUCAGAUCCUAUAUUUGGUUGCAAGUGGGUUGAAAACAAUAACGGCAUUCGAAUGGAUAAGUCAGGAUUUUGCAAGUGGAUAUUAAUGAGGUGGGAUACAAAGAUGAGUCUUUUAUUCUAGUCUCUCAAGCUAGACAAGUGUUCUUGUCAUGAUCCGAAAGUACGAAAUGGUCUAUAGUUCUUUUUCCAACAAAGUAAUUGAUGAAAACACUGGAGAUCAAGGUGAUAUUGAUGUUGAGAUUGAGUCGUUUACCAGAAAUGAUCAAGAUGAGAAUAUAUAUCAAAUGAUUCAUAUAUUAGAAAUGAUCAUAAUGAGGGUAUUUGGAUCAAUCCAACCGUCCGUGUUGUUAAGAGACAUGUAGAACAUAUUCCAACAAAGAAAAGAAAGAGAACUUAGUGAAAAGGUACAGGUCAAAUGAUUUUAAUUGUUUUCUUUAUUACAGGUAAAAUGACUUUUAUGAUUUUAAUUGUUUUUACAUUUUGUCAUCUGAUUUUAAUUGUUUUCUUUAUUACAGGUAAAAUGGCUAUUAUGAAGUCAAUCAUUCGUGCAAGGGGCAAGGAUACUUGAAAGUAUCAAUUGAUAUGUGUUUAGAUGGAGAUGUUCAUUGUCGUCAAGCCUCAUUCGCGUAGAUGAUGAAUGCUGGAUAUUUGAAGUAUCCCUCUACGACAAUGGAACAUGUCCAUCUAAACAAAUAUCAAUUCUAUCUUCAAAAGAUAGGACCAAAAAAUAUAUAAGGGGAUUACGCAGCAAUCGAGUCAGUUGCAUAAAAAAAAAGGUAUAAACACAAUUAUAAUAUUUUAUGCAUAGAAAAUGUUAAUUCUUGAUCUUAACAUCACCUAACUAAUUUUAUGAUUAUUUUAGGUUCAUGCUAUUGAUAUUGAACAAAAAAGAGGUUGUUGCUAAGAAGACUGCUGCUAGCAAAAAAAACAUACAUCUCAGAGAUGCUUUUGCUACUUAGUUUUAUUUCUUUUUAAAGUUAUGAAUUGGUUGUAUAUUUAGAAUCUUUGAAGUUAAAACGAUUAUGUAUCAGGGGAUGUUGUAUAUGUAUGGAUUGUUGUAUAUAAGGCUGUUGAAUGCAAUGUGUGAAAAAGGGCUUCAAAUAUACAGUUUUGGGUGUACUGCUUCAUAUAAUACAGGUUGGUCUAAAAUAAAUAAAAAAAUAUAGCGCUUUUUAAAAAAAAAAUUAAUUAAAUAACCACCCACUUUAGAGGGCGCUUCCCAAAAUAAAGCGCCCUCUAAACCCUUUAAAUUUCCACUUUAGAGGGCCGCUUUCAGUAAAAGCGCCCUCUAACCCAAAAAGUUUCCACUUUAAGAGGGCGGUUUCUAGUAAAAGGCGUCCUCUAAACCCUUAAAUGUUUCCACUUUAGAGGGCGGCUUCUUUAAAAAAGCUCCCUCUAAAGUGGCCCAUAAAGGGCUUAAAGAGCCACUUAAGACAGCGCUUUCACCAGGAAAAAAAGUGUUGUCUUUACUAUGCCAGCCGCAGAUUAGAGGGCGCUUUAAAGCGCUGUUAUAGGCCAAAAAAGCGCCCUCUUUUCCCUUAUUUGGCGUAGUGGUCUAAUUUUUAGGCCCCGCAUCCCUCAACUAUCACACCGCCCCGCCUCGUCCCGUUUUUUUGCGGGAUUUUACGGGACGGACAUAUAACGGGACGGAUAUGCCCGUUUGCCACAUUACGCACUACUGUAUCAAUAAAUAUAUAAUAUAGAUCAUUGUCUAAUUUCUCAUAGACUGUCAACGAAUAUAUACAACAAAUUACCCAAACUACCCAAACUACAUGCCUAAAGAUUAAGAGAUUAUUGAUGAGAAGUUACGUAUGAGCUAAUGUUAUUAAAAUAUAACAUUCUAGGAGCUACGUAUUUUGUCAGCUAAUGACAUAGUCAAUUACAUCAGUUAAUUGUUGUUAAUAAUUACAUACUAAAAACAACAGUUAAUUAUUAACACAUAAAAAUGGGACUGCAUGAUGCAAACACAACUGUCAUGGUAAGUUAAUCAUGCAAAAGGGGACAAACCAAUCACUGCUCAUGAUUUUUUAUGGAAAAUUGUCUUCUUUGUGAAAACACACUAUAAAAAAUGUGUUUUAUUACGAGGAUUUUCAAUCCCAAAAAAUUGUAUUACCGGAGUUUUGAAAACCGCCGUUAAUACCACCGUUCCCAAAUAUAUUCGCAAGAAUUUUAGGUAACCGCUGAUAUCCUAUUUAAACUGGAGAAAUUUAUAUUUUGAAGGUCGAAAACUCUUGUAAAUUAUUAUUAAUGUGAAAAAAAAUAACAACUCUUUAGAUUUCAUUGGAAAUAUAAUUAUGACAAAAUCAAAUGAUAUGUAUAUAAAAAUUACGCUGAUACAACUGAAAAUUCUUAAUGGCCAAAAUAAAAUAUAAUCCUAAAUAAAGAACAAUAAACAUUCCAAGAAUGAAACAAAUCAUACUCAACAUAACUUUACAACAUAUCAAGUAUUAAGUAUUAUGUAAUAUCUUAUUAUUUCAUGAAAGAAAACUCUAGUUCCAAGAAGUUACAAUGAUCGUUUUUUAUUACAUCAUAAAAGAAACGUCAUUAUAAAGAGUUUGCAAAGAAAAGCUACAUGAAUAAAUGAAUUUUUCCAUUUCUAAAAUAAUAAAAGUUAUUACUAUAAUAGGAAGCUCCAAUUAGAUUAUAAAAUAUAAGUAAACUUUCAUUGCUGGUGGCAACUCCUGGUUCUUGUUCCUUUACUCUGGAAGAAUGUUCUUUACAGAUGAAGUUUCUAAGAUCACUUGUAAUGCUUAACAUAUAUUAUCAAAGAAAAAUAAAUAAAUAAAUAUUUCAAUUGCCUUUGUUUCUCUUCUUGAAAUUGUUUUUUGUUUUUAUUCUAAUUAGUUAAUGGAAUAAUACAUGAGCCUCCAAUCGAUUUGUCGAGAGAGUACGAGGCAUGGGUAUCAAAUUCGUUAAAGUUUGCCGUUGCGCACGCCGAAGAACCCAAUAGAAUGAUAUGUCUUGCUUGCGGUUUAUUGUUAUGGGAAACGGGUUGACGCAGUUCAGUUGGACAUCGCAUUCUACAUGAGGCAUGGAUUUGAUCGAAGUUAUAACAUGUUGAAUUUGGCAUGGUGAGAAAAGUACGAUGAAAUCGUUGAACCGGGGGAUUAUACGAACCUAUGCCUCAAACUAUAGUGGUGCGAUAAUACGAUUGUUGAUCGAGUUGAAGAGAUUGCAGAAGCACUUGGAAGGAGAUCUUAAGGAUUGUCCCGACAUGUUUGAGAGGUUUGUAAGUGAUGCAGAGAAACCCUUGUUAUGAUGGUUCACUAAAUUGCAGCAAGAUUGUCUGGCAGUAUUAGUUGUACAACUUAAAGGCGGGCAAUGGAUGUCGAAUAAAAGUUUCACAGGAGUUACUUUUAGGCCUUUUGAAAGAAUAUGCUCCUGGGAUAAAUGUUCCUUUCCCAAUCAAACAUAUGAGACCAAAAAAGAUGUGUGCUCUAUUGGCAUGAGCUAUGAAUUAAGAUACAUGCAUGUCCAAACGGAUUGCGUUUUGUUUCGAAUGAGUAUGCAUCGUUAAAUGAGUGUCGCCUAAAUGCGGUGUCUCGCGAAUAUAAGAACAAGUUGGUCUCCAGCAAAAGUCUUUGUGGUAUUUCCUGUUAUUCCGAAUUUUAGACGCAUGUUUCGUAGUGAAACCCGAUUCAAGACACUUGACCUGGCAUGUGCAGAUGAAAAGAAUUAUAGAUGGAAAGUAUCAGACAUCUCGGCAGAUCUCACCACAGUGCGUUGAAAAUUGAUAUAUGGAUUAUCUGAAUUUGGAUGAAGAAUCAGAAAACCUUCGCUUGGCAUUAUCUACUGAUGGAAUGAACCCACACGGUAUCCCAGGAGUUAUCUCACACAGUACAUAUGGCCUGUGAUAUUUAUGAUUUAUAACCUACCCUCCAAUGGCUAUGUAAUGAAGCGUAAGUACAUGAUGUUGUCUUAUGUUGAUUUUUGACCUAAACAACCAGGAGAAUGACAUAGACUUGUCACUUGAAGCCUUAAUCGAAGAUUUAAAAGAUUUUGUGGGAGAACCGGUGUGGAGGUUUUAUGAUGGAUAUAGGAAAGAAAAGUUUCAACUUGAGGGCGAUGUUGUUUGGGCACUAUUAAUGAUUUUCCAGCAUACGGAAAUCUAUCAGGGUUAUAGCAUAAAAGGUCAAUGUGCGUGUCCUAUUUGUGAAGAUAAAACAGAUUGGAUAGCGCUUGGAGUUUGGUCAGAAGAAUGUCUUUCUCGGUCAUUCGAGAUUCUUAAAUUCAAAUCAUCAACUACCGUUGGAUGGAGAAAGGCGUUCAAUGGAGAGACAGAACAAGGCAGAGCCCUCCACCUUAUUAUGACGGGAUCAAAUUUUUGAAAAGGUGAAAAGAUUUUGGUACUCAGUUUGGCCAGCCUUUUUGCCCACAACACUUGUCAAAAUGGGUGGAAGAGAGGUCUAGUUUUUUUUUGAAUUGCCGUAUUGGAGUCCUUGUAUGUGAGACAUUUUCUUUGAUGUUAUGCAUAUGAAAAAAAAUGGUAUUUGAAAGUGUUAUUGCACGUUUAAACUCAAUAUACAAGGAAAGUCUCAAGGAAUGGCCUUAAGGCACCAGAAAAGGAAUUUGAAUGGCGAUGGGAAUAAGAACUGAAAUUAGACCCUUUGAGAAAGGAAGACGAAAAAUAUCUACCGCCUGCUGCUUAUACUUCUAUUACUAGAAAGGAGAAAAACAUAUGUGUAAGUUUCUAAGUGAAGUUAAAAGUUCCAGGAAGGGUACUCUUCAGAUAUUAGAAGACUUGUGUUCUAUGAAAGAACGCGUCAAGUUAAAGAGUUUAAAGACCGCGGCAUGAUUGCCAUGUAAAAUAAUGGAACAUUUUCCUCCAACUAGGUAUUCGUUCUAUUCUUCCAGAAAAAGUAGAAGCUCUAUAAACUAAGUUGUGUUCUUUCUUCAAGUCAAUUUGCAGUAAGCGUGAUCAAUCCUGCCGAUCUUACCAAAUGUUGCAAAAAGAAAUCGUUAUUACUUUGUAUGAGGCUUGAAAUGUUUUUUCCUCCAUCAUUUUUUUUGACAUAAUGGUCACAUACUAGUUGUUCAUCUUGUGAAAGAGACACAUUGUGUGGACCAGCUUAUAUGAGAUGGAUGUACGCCCUAUUGAACGUCAUAUGAAAAUAUUAAAAAGGGUACGUGAAGAAACGCGAAGUCGACCAGAAGGUUGUAUGGUUGAAAGAUACAUUGUUUGAAGAAGCGAUUGUUAGCUUUGUAGCUUGAAUAUUUGUCUAAUGUUCAGUCAUCUCGACUCGCCUAAGUCCUCAAACUUGUCGAAAAGGAAAGAAGGAAAAAAUCUAAUUGGAAAUAAAAUCGUGGCCGUAUCAAAGGGUGCGAAACGGGAGAUCACAGUGCAUUUGUAUGUUCUGCACAAGGAGAAUGAGGUCUGAGCCGUAGUGUUGAAAUUCACAAGGAUGUUGCUCUGAGGUUUUAAAUCCCAAUAGACAUGAAAAUUGAUAGUACGGAGAGCACAAUCCGAUGUUUUACUACCUGGUUUAAGGUUAUCAUAUUUAUUCAAAAGUAUUAUUCAGAUCCCGCUUCAAUACAGAAACGUUUGAGAUGCUAGCAUAUGGGUCCAAGUUUCCAGUGUUUUUUCUUACUAGCGCAUACGCGAUUAAUGGAUUACACAUUUUUUUAUACCAAAGAAACAAGAUAUGAUAAAAGUACUUGCAAAACAGUGGUGUCACCGUGGUAUUCUGAAGCAAUAGCACAUAUCAAGUUGAUGAAAGGAACUUAAACCCCAAAUUUGCAAAUCUGUCAGUAUUUUUGGUGUUAUCCGAGCGCAUUUGGGUGUUGAUUAUGAGAAGUUUUCAGAUCCUUUAUAUUUGGUUGCAAGUGGGUUGAAAACAAUAACGGAUUAUCGAAUGGAUAAGUCAGGAUUUUUUGCAAAGUGGAUAUUUAAUAGGGUGGGAUACACAAAGAUGAGGUCUUUUAUUCUAGUCUCUUCAAGCUUAGACAAGUGUUCUAUGUCAAUGAUCCGAAAAGUACGAAAUGGUCUAUAGUUACUUUUUUCCAAACAAAGUAAUUGAUGAAAACACUGGAGAUCAAGGUGAUAUUGAUGUUGGAUUGAGUCGUUUUACCAGAAAAUGAUCAAGAUCGAGAAUAUUAUAUCAAAUGAUUCAUAUUAGAAUGAUCUAAUGAGGGUAUUGGAUCAAUUCCAACCGUCCGUGUUGUUAAGAGACAUGUAGGAACAUAUUCCAAACCAGAAAAGGAAAGAGAACUUAGUCGAAAAGGUACAGCGUCAAAUGAUUUUAAUUGUUUCUUUAUUACAGUAAAAAUGACUUUUAUGAUUUAAUUGUUUUUACAUUUUCAUGCUGAUUUUAAUUGUUUUCUUUAUUACAGGUAAAAUGGCUAUUAUGAAGUCAAUCAUUCGUGCAAGGGCAAGGAUACUUGAAAGUAUCAAUGAUAUUUGUUUAGAUGGAGAUGUUUCCAUUGUCGUCAAGCCUCAUUCGCGUAGAUGAUGAUGCUGGAUAUUUGAAGUAUCCCUCUACGACAAUGGAACAUGUCCAUCUAAACAAUAUUCAAUUCUAUCUUCAAAGAUAAGGACCAAAAAUAUAAGGGGAUUACGCAGCAAUCGAGUCAGUUGCAUAAAAAAAAAGGUAUAAACACAAUUAUAUGAUAUUUAUGCAUAGAAAUGUUAAUUCUUGAUCUUAUACAUCACCUACUAAUUUUAUGAUAUUUUAGGUUCAUGCUAUUGAUAUUGAACAAAAGAGGUUGUUGCUAAGAAGACUGCUGCUAGCAAAAAAAACAUACAUCUCAGAGAUGCUUUUUGCUACUUAGUUUUAUUUCUUUUUAAGUUAUGAAUUGGUUGUAUAUUUAGAAUCUUUAGAAGUUAAACGAUUAUGUAUCAUGGAUGUUGUAUAUGUAUGGAUUGUUGAUAUUAAGGCUUGUUGAAUGCAAUGUGUGAAAAAGGGCUUCAAAUUAUACAGUUUUGGUGUACUGCUUCAAUAUACAGGUUGUCUAAAAUAAAUAAAAAAAUAUAGCGCUUUUUAAAAAAAAAAAUUAAAUAACCACCCACUUUAGAGGGCGCUUCCCAAAUAAAGCGCCCUCUAACCCUUUAAAUUUCCACUUAGAGGGCGCUUCAGUAAAGCGGCCCUCUAAACCCUAAAAAGUUUCCACUUUAGAGGGCGGUUUCUAGUAAAAGCGCCUCUAAAACCUUAAAUGUUUCCACUUUUAGAGGGCGCUUUCUUUAAAAAGCUCCCUCUAAAGUGGCCCAUAAAGGGCUUAAAGAGCCACUUUAGACAGCGCUUUCACCAGGAAAAAAAGUGUUGUCUUUACUAUGCCAGCGCCAGAUUAGAGGGCGCUUUAAAGCGCUGUUAUAGGCCAAAAAAGCGCCCUCUUUUCCUUAUUUGGCGUAGUGGUCUAAUUUUUAGGCCCGCCGAUCCUCCACUAUCACCGCCCCGCCUCGUCCCGUUUUUUUGCGGGAUUUUACGGACGGACAUAAACGGGACGAUAUGCCCGUUUGCCACAUUACGCACUACUGAUACAAUAAUAUAUAAUAUAAGAUCAUUGUCUAAUUUCUCAUAACUGUCAAACGAAUAUAUACAACAAAUUACCCAAACUACCCAAACUACAUGCCUAAAGAUUAAGAUAUAUUGAUGAGGAAGUUACGUAUGAGAUAUGUUAUUAAAAUAUAACAUUCUAGGAGCUACGUAUUUUGUCAGCUAAUGACAUAGUCAAUUACAUCAGUUAAUUGUUGUUAAUAAUUACAUACUAAAAACAACAGUUAAUUAUUAACACAUAAAAAGGACUGCAUGAUGCAAACACAACUGUCAUGGUAAGUUAAUCAUGCAAAAGGGGACAAACCAAUCACUCUCAUGAUUUUUAUGGAAAUUGUCUUCUUUGUGAAAACACACUAUAAAAAAUGUGUUUUAUUACGAGGAUUUCAAUCCCAAAAAAUUGUAUUACCGGAGUUUUUGAAAACCGCCGUUAUACCCACCGUUCCCAAAUAUAUUCGCAAGAAUUUUAGGUAAACCGCUUGAUAUCCUAUUUAAACUGGAGAAAUUUAUAUUUUGAAGGUCGAAAACUCUUGUAAAUUAUUAUUAAUGUGAAAAAAAAUAACAACUCUUUAGAUUUCAUUUGGAAAUAUAAUUAUGACAAAAUCAAAUGAUAUGUAUAUAAAAAUUACGCUGAUACAACUGAAAAUUCUUAAUGGCCAAAAUAAAAUAUAAUCCUAAAUAAAGAACAAUUAAACAUUCCAAGAUGAAACAAAUCAUACUCAACAUAACUUUACAACAUAUCAAGUAUUAAGUAUAUGUAAUAUCUUAUUAUUUCAUAAAGAAAACUCUAGUUCCAAGAAGUUUACAAUGAUCGUUUUUUUAUACAUCAUAAAAAACGUCAUUAUAAAGAGUUUGCAAAGAAAACGCAACCAUUGGAAAAUAAGAAUUUAAAAUUUUCCAUUUCUAAAAUAAUAAAAGUUAUACUAUAAUAGGAAGCUCCAAUUAGAUUAUUAAAUAUAAGUAAACUUCAUUGCUGGUGGCAACUCCUGGUUCUUGUUCCUUUACUCUGGAAGAAUGUUUCUUUACAGAUGAAGUUUCUAAGUAUCACUUGUAAUGCUUAACAUAUAUUAUCAAAGAAAAAUAAAUAAAUAAAUAUUUCAAUUGCCUUAUUUUAUUUUAUUACCAAUAUUUUAAAGUAAAAGUCUUACAUGUAUGGUCUUCUGAAAUUUUGUAAAAAAAAUAAAGUAUACUUAUUAUGGUUAGUUACAACAAUUCUUGGCAACUAGGAAUAUUUUAUUAUAAAGUUGUGUAAGAACUCAUUUUUUNNNNNNNNNNNNNNNNNNNNNNNCUAUAAUUUUAUCCUUUUUACCAAUAUCUUUAAAGUACAGAGAAUCUUACUAUGUAUGUCUCGCAUACCAAUUAUUCGUAACAAAAAUAGAAAGGUAGGUGGUUACUAAUUUAUGGUUAGAUUACAACAAUAUUCACUUGGCCACUAGCGCAAUAUUCAUUUAUAAUAGUUGGGUGCUAAGAAACUCAGUUUGGUUGGGCACUUAUAUUGACGCCCAACUUACUUCUUUACCAUAGAAAUUCGACAUAGGAUUGUCAGAGCUGCACGUGUCGCAGAGGGGUGUUGUAAUACGAUUUAAUUAAUAUAGGAAUAUCGUCUAUCUUGUAUCAUACAAUUAUCAAAUCUAUUUUCGAACCAUUCAACUAUUUACUGUAAUAAAAUUGAACCAAGAUAACAGAAUAAUAUUAAUAACUUUAACCAAUAAAAAAAUUGAGGUUUCUAUGUAAAAAAAUAUAAAGCUCAUAAAUUUAAAAGGUUACGAAAAUGAUCCAUAGCUGCAAAUGUUGUCUUAUUCAAUUACACCAAAAUCACAGAGCUCAGAUGAAAAUCAUAAACAACCAUGGAACAAUAUUUCGAGAGAGUAUUAGAUUCUCUCUCUCUCUUUCUUUUUCAUGUAUUGACCCCAACUUCUUUCUUUCCUAGAAAUCGACAUAGAUUGUCAAUGCACUUCACGAUGUGAGAUUUAUUAAUAUUAGGAAACGUUUCUUGACAAAAUUCAUCUGUUUCGCAUUCAACUUUUACUGUAAUAAAAUAACAAAAUAAAGAAUAAUAUUAAUAGAAAAAAUAAAAAAUUGAGUUCAAAGUAAAAAAAAUAAAGCUCAAAAUUUAAAAAGGUUAGAAAAAUAUCUUACUGCAAAUGUUUCUUUCAAUAAAAAAUACAGAAAUCAAUAAAAUCAUAAAAUGAACAAUAUUGAGAAAUUUAGUCAUAUUUUCUCUUUUUGCAUGUUAUAGUUAUAAUAUGAUAUGAUCAAUUUAUAGUGUAUAAUCUUAUCCUAAGUUAAAAUAAAUUAAUUAUCUUUAGCCCUUGAGAAAUAGGGAAAAACAUCAUUAAAUUGCUAAUGUGUAUAUUUUUAUUAGAUUAAUGUGUUAUGUUUGUCCUUUGACACAUUAAAGAGUAACAUGCAAAACUUUCUUAUCAUUAGAAUUCACUCUUCUUAAAUUAAUAGAGAAAUAAUAUUUUAUUUAUUUCUAAAAUAGUUACAAACGCAUAGUUUACCGAUAGUUAAACUUAUUGUAAGUUUUUUUUUAAAGAUAAAAUCAUUUGAUUUUAGGAAAUGAAUAUUAAAUUUUGUAGUUAUUUGAUUUUAGGGUUGGAGAAUUCGUGUGGUUCAAUUCGAUAAGAAUUAGUCCAAUUCAAAAUUUGACUCGAGUUCAACCCGAUUUUUUUAAAGGUUAAAUUCACGAAUAAUUUAUUUCAAUUCGAUAGGUUCAACUUCCUGCUCUACAGAUUAAAAAUCCAUUUUUUUAAAUCUAUUUUUCAUUUAUAUUUGACAUUUUAAAUUAAUAAUUUUUGUAAAAGAAAAAUAUUUAAAUAUAAUAAAAAUUAUAAGAUUAAAAUUUAACUUUUUCUCAAAAAUCCUUAAUGUUUUUAUUUAUAAGAAGAAUUUUAUUAAAUUAAAAAUUUUAAUUUUUAAUUACUCUAUACAAUUUUUUUUUACAUGAUGAUGAAUUUAUUUGUAUAAUUAUUUUAAAUAUAUUUUGUUCACUUGGGAAUAUAAAUGAUCAAUUAAAACCGUCAAAUUAAAAGAAAAAUUAGAAGAUUUAUAGUAAGGUUUUAAGCAUAUUCUUAGAGUCAAUAUAAUUUAUCUCAUAUAUAAUCGAGUUGAUUCAUGAACCUAAUGACUUGAGUUAUACAUAGUUCAAAUCUACCUCAUUUAAUUAAGAAACUUAAUUUUUUGUUCAUAUUCAGCUCAUUUAGUUCAUGAACCUAGUUCAAUGAUUUAGUUUUCGAAUUGAAUUUUGAAUUAUGUUUGAAUUUGUCUAGUUCAUUGAUAGCUCUAUUUGAUUUCGUAACAUUAUCAUUCACAUAAAUCUUGUAAUAACCCAUAUAAUAUAUAUCUAGAAUAAUAUCAUACAAGUUUUAUUAUUUUUUUGGUACUAUCACAACAUAAGUGCCUAACGACAUCUUUAUAUACAUGCCCAUAAAAUAAAAUACAACAUAUGGAACAUGUCAUGCGAUAGUGCCUAAAUAAAGAUCUAAGAACUAUGUAUAAUAUCUACAAUUAUACAAAUCUACUGUAGAAGAUCAUAAUAAAAUCUUUCCUUGAAACAUCAAUGCACAACUCCUCUUGUACAAUAUAUCCUAUAAACAAUACCUGGAAAAAAACAAUAAUAUUGGGGUGAGAUAAUAAUCUCAGUGAGUUCUUCUAUCUUAUGGGUUCACUCGACUCUAUAGAGUUUUCUAAUCGAUUUCCUAACUCAAGUCACAAAGGGGGAAAUCUGGAGUUCCCAAAACUCGCAAUGUAUAGAAAUACGCCUCUUGAGUUCAUCGACUCAAACAAUCACUAAUCAAAAACCAUUACAAGGUAUCUUCCCCCGUCCAACCCUACGUCUAGGAUUAUCGACAUGGAUCAUGAAUCCUUGUAUAUACUUUGAAAUACGCACAGACUUCGAAUUCUAAGUGAUCACAUCCACUUCAAGAAUCGUCGCUUCCUGUGGGACUCAAAACUCAUUUCAAAACUUUUACUCGUAUGGGACUCAUCCCACUUUGGGAUCUACCGCCUUUGGGACUCACGCCCAGGUCAUAAGUAUUGGUGUGUACGUCCCAAUUCUUACUAUAUAUGAGCAUCACAACUUGGGACAACACAAUCAACGGGUUAUUUCUGACUAUGUGACAAGAUAGAAAUACAACGUAAUUGUAUUCAAAAAUCACAAGGUAAUCACGUUCAUCUUCAUCACACAACAACACAACAUGUUCCAUACAAUGCAUCCCACUCUCAACUAUGGCAACGAUCCAUCCAUGACACUCAACUAGGUAUCAUAUAGAAUAAACGCCGCCAUCUAACGUUAUUUAUGCCAUAUGUCUAACUUCUUAACCUAAUUAGAACUCUAGGUUAACUCACAUUAUUCAUCAUGUUUCUCUCUCAUAUAUUGUUGAUUUAAUACAUACAUAUCAUAACAUAUGUCAUAAGGCACACAUAUGGAAAAGAUAGCAUAUUCCAUUUAUCCCAAACAAAAUGCAAUAAAUUACCAUGAUCAUAUAAAGCUUUAAACAAGCUUUCUAAUGCAUUUGACCGCACAUCGAACAGAUUUAUGAAACUCAAGUUAUGCCACAAACAAUGCAGAGGAAUAACACAAAAACCAGUUAACCGUGCUAAGCGCCAUCUGAGCAUGCUAUUGUGAUUUGAGAAUGUUAUCUGGAGAAUUGUGUCACCCUUUUUGAGUAUUUUAUUCUGCAUAUUUUAUAAAUUAAAUGUCUGGGGUUUAUGGUUUUACAACCAGACCCCAACCAUAUACAAUUGAUCAAAGUAUUUCAUUUCCCUUAAGCGGUGAGCGAUCGUCCUCUUGAUUUCCGUAACGUCGUUGGCUCCUUUUCUUCAAACAAUAAUCGAAUUUGUUUCUUAGUCUAAUAAUCGAAAUCUUUCAAAUAUAUAUUCAAAUAAACAAAAAAGUAUUUGGACAAAUAAUCAAAUAAUGCAAGCACAAAUAAACCUUCGACAUCAUAUAUCAGACCUAUAGCAACUUAUUAAGCUAAUGAUAACAGUCCUAAAGUAUCUUAAAUUAUUUUAUGCUAACCGUCCAAACGUAUAUAGAUAUUUUCCCCAUAUUUUGUUGUUAAGCAUUGUUGAAAGUCCACGACCGCUUCCUCCGAUCUUUGACUAGAACUUAAUUUCAAUAACCGUUGAAUUGUACAAAAUUUAUAAAAUAAUUAUAAUAUAAUUUACGCAGAAUUUCAUAAACUUGUUAUUACUUGAAAUAUUUACUUUAAAAUAUUUAAUAGUAACCUCCACUAUAUUUGAAUAAUUAUUAAACUCAAAUAUAAAUUAGACUAUAGCCUGUUUGGAUUUGUUGAUUUUAGAAAAUUAUCAAGAGUAUAUUUCUAAUAACCUUUUAAUUUUAUAAUAACACUUGAGCAUUAUAAUGACUUAAAAUGGUAAAAUUUAUCUUUUAUUAGGAUAUCAAUUUGGACUUUAUAAGUUCAAUACCUCUAUGCUGAAUGGAAAUUUAAAUAGAAAAUUUAAAAUAACCUUAUAUGAAUAAAAUAAUUAAAUUAAUAUAAUUAAAAUAAAAUGGACAUUAUAACGACUUACUAGUUACUUAUGAAAAUAAUUGUGGCGGCAAUGAAGCGUAUAAAAUCAAACUCCUUUGAAAUUUUAGAAGCAUUUUGACCAUAUAAUAGCUCUAAAAGCUAUGAACCAAUACUGUGAAAACCUCGAUAACAAAAACUAAUAUCGUUGUAUGAAGAAAAAAAAAUAGAGUGGUGAGAGAAAUGAAUUCUGAAUGGAUAAAUGAAAAUGGGGUGGAAUAAACCCUUAUAUAUACUAGUUGUAAGAUUUAUAUAUAUAUAUAUAAUAUAUAAUAUUAUAUAUAUAUAUAUAUAUAUAUUAUAUAUAUAAAUAUAUAUAUAUAUAUAUAUUAUAUUGAGAUUAAUUCUAUACGAUAAAAAGUUUACACCGUCGGUUCAUCACCAUCACCUGUUUGUAUUACUUUAUAGAUUUUUAAAUAAAAGUCAAACUUCUUUUAAUAUUCACGUCUAUAAUUAAGUGAUGGUGUAAAACUUUUUUACACCUGACAGUGAUUUCAAUUAAUAUCUCUCAUCUCUCUCCUCUCUCUCUUUUCUCUCGUCUCCUUCUCUCUCUCUCUCUCUCUCUCUCUCUCUCUCUCUCUCUGAUGGUUAUAAUUUGAUUUAAUGCUUGUAUUUUUUAAAUCUACACUUUUUUUACUAAUCCAUUCUGAAAAGUUAUUAAUACUUUGCAGAAUAAACUAAAAGAGAAAGAAGUGUUGGUUGAAGAAUUAUAAGCAUUGAACUAAAUUCUAACUGUUAAAGGAGAUACAGAUAAUGGAUUGUAGAAAGAUCGAAAAACAUUUAUUAAUGUAACUUGUUCUUCUAAUAUUACUCAAUUUAUUAUUUUAUUAAUAUCUAAUUAGAGUGAAAGGUUAUAUGUUUAUUGAGAAUUUAAUGAAAUAAGAAUUUCACAUAUUUUACGAUCAGACUUUAUAAAAAAACCUGUAAAACAAACAAAGAGUAAGCACGGAAUAAAGAAAGUCAGAGUAUAAAGAAAGAAAUACAUCAUAAGUAAAUAAGUGGUAAAAUGUAAACAAAAAAGGAUACAAAAAGAUGCACUAUAGGUUUAUAGAGGUUCGACUUAAUCACUUGACUUACUCAUCUCCUUGAAAAUUUCUUCAUGAGAGUUUAAAACCAGAGUUUAGAAAAAGUUUGUAGAACAAAAAUGAAAUAAGCAGUGGAAUAUAGAAAAUCGGAAUAGAAAGAAAGACAUACAUGAAAAGUAAAUUAAUUACUAAAAUAUAAAUAAAUAAGGGUAGAGAAAGAUGCACCAGCACUUUAUAGAGGUUCGACUUAACCACUUGACCUACUCAUCUCCCCGAAAAUUUCUUCUUGAGAGUUUCCACUGUGUUGUGAGGUUUUUACAAGUUUUUCCCACGAAUCUCCUUAAAAACAAACUUGAGUUUUAAAAUGGAUAAUCUCUAAACUAAACUUAGAAUUUUUUCCCACGAGAUGUUGUACAAGAUUAAUCCCAAACAAGAUGAGAGUUUUUAUACCAAGCGUAGCUCAGAAACCAAGUGGAGGUUUUAACGAAUAGGUGAAGCUCACGAACUAUGUGGAUAUUUCAACAGACAAUCUCUUGAAUCAAACAAGAGCUUUUACAAUAGGAAAAGUUCAAGAACAAAAAGUGAUAUUUGAACGGACAAUCCCAUAAACUAAACAAGAGCUUUUUAACUUGGUUUUGAUCAUAAUCAAACUAAAAAUAUCACAAGAAAUAUUACAAAAUUACCCUCACAUCCGAACCAAAUAACUCACAUGUAAAUUUCACUCUCAAAUCACUACGGUAAAAGCGAGGAAGAACUAAAGAGAGAGAAGAGAGUGAAUAAUGAGAAGGAGUGGUCAAAAUACAUUUUAUAGUAUGUAAGAAAUGAGAAAUCAUCCUUCUAUUUAUAGGACAAAGUGUGAUACAAAAAUGUAAAGAAUUCAUGGACUUUUUAAUAUUCACAACCAAUAAUGCAUAUGACAUAAUCGAUUAUGCAAUUCAAAUAUUUAAUGUUUUUAAAUGACACUUUCACUUAUCAAUUGUAGCUCCGUCUAAUCGAUUAGGGUUACAUAAGUGAUAAUUGAUUAAUCAAGUGUGAUAAUCAAUUAUGUCAUGUAAAAAUCCUCUUAGUGUGAUAAUCAAAAAGGUUUUCAAGUAGUUUUACUAAAACCGGAGAGGAUUUUCGAUCAUUCAAACGGUGUAAUCGAGCUACUGAAACAAAAAAGAUAUAAUAUAAGAUCAUUGUCUAAUUUCUCAUAGACUGUCAAAGGAAUGUAUACAACAAAUUUCCCAAACUACAUGCCUAAAGAUUAAGAGAUACCUAUGUUGUCAGCUAAUGACAUAGUCAAUUACAUCAGUUAAUUAUUAACACAAUAAAAAUGGAACUGCAUGGUGCAAACACAACUGUCAUGCUAAGUUAAUCAUGCAAAAGGGUGACAAACCAAUCACUGCUCAUGAUUUUUUAUGGAAAAUUGUCUUCUUUGUGAAAAGACACUAUAAAAAAUGUGUUUGAUUACGAGGAUUUUCAAUCCCAAAAAAUUGUAUUACGGGAGUUUUGAAAACCGCCGCUAAUACAGGUCCCAAAUAUAUUCGCAAGGAUUUUAGGUAACCGCUGAUAUCCUAUUUAAACCGGAGAAAUUUUUAUUUUGAAGACUCUUGUAAAUUAUUAUUAGUGUGACAAAAAAUAACAACUCAUUAGAUUUCAUUGGAAGUAUAAUUAUGAUAAAAUCAAAUGAUAUGUAUAUUAAAAUUAUGCUGAUACAACUGAAAAUUCUUAAUCGCCAAAAUAAAAUAUUAUCCUAAAUAAAGAACAUUAAACAUUCCAAGAAUGAAACAAAUCAUACUCAACAUAACUUUACAACAUAUCAAGUAUUAAGUAUUAUGUAAUAUCUUAUUAUUUCAUGAAAGAAAACUCUAGUUCCAAGAAGUUAUAAUGAUCGUUUUUUAUUACAUCAUAAAAGAAACGUCAUUAUAAAGAGUUUGCAAAGAAAAGCUACAUGAAUAAAUGAAUUUUUCCAUUUCUAAAAUAAUAAAAGUUAUUACUAUAAUAGGAAGCUCCAAUUAGAUUAUAAAAUAUAAGUAAACUUUCAUUGCUGGUUGCAACUCCUGGUUCUUGUUCCUUUACUCUGGAAGAAUGUUCUUUACAGAUGAAGUUUCUAAGAUCACUUGUAAUGCUUAACAUAUAUUAUCAAAGAAAAAUAAAUAAAUAAAUAUUUCAAUUGCCUUAUUUUAUUUUAUUACCAAUAUUUUAAAGUACAAAGUCUUACAUGUAUGGUCUCUGAAAUUUUGUAAAGAAAAAUAAAAAGUAUACUUAUUAUGGUUAGUACAACAAUUCAUUGGCAACUAAGGAAUAUUUUAUUAUAAAGUUGUGUAAGAACUCAUUUUUCAUGUAUUGACCCCAACUUCUUUCUUUCCUAGAAAUUGACAUAGAUUGUCAAUGCACUUCACGAUGUGAGAUUUAUUAAUAUUAGGAAACGUUUCUUGACAAAAUUCAUCUGUUUCGCAUUCAACGUUUACUGUAAUAAAAUAACAAAAUAAAGAAUAAUAUUAAUAGAAAAAAUAAAAAAUUGAGUUCAAAGUAAAGAAGGUAAAGAUCAAAAUUUGAAAAG